Molecule: ribosomal RNA, 497 nt
Filed under: uncultured bacterium
Lineage: Bacteria
Description: partial 16S ribosomal RNA
Rfam family: Bacterial small subunit ribosomal RNA
Source: RNAcentral
GAUGAACGCUGGCGGCGUGCCUAAUACAUGCAAGUCGAGCGAACAGACGAGGAGCUUGCUCCUCUGACGUUAGCGGCAGACGGGUGAGUAACACGUGGAUAACCUACCUAUAAGACUGGGAUAACUUCGGGAAACCGGAGCUAAUACCGGAUAAUAUAUUGAACCGCAUGGUUCAAUAGUGAAAGACGGUUUUGCUGUCACUUAUAGAUGGAUCCGCGCCGCAUUAGCUAGUUGGUAAGGUAACGGCUUACCAAGGCAACGAUGCGUAGCCGACCUGAGAGGGCGACCGGCGGCACAAGGACUGCGCCACGAAGCCGACUCGUACGGGCCGCCGCAGUCGGGAGUGUUCCGGCACGGGCGGGCUCCUUAAGGAGCCAUGUCACGUGAGUGAUGAAGGUCUUCUCAUCGUUACACGCUCUUACUCGGCAACAACAAAAGCCUACGUAACUAUGCCCGUCUCCACGGUCCUUAAUAAGAGGACCCGGGCGAACUCCGUG